UGAUUAUGUUCUCUGCGCUGUUUUUACACCUUGAGCUGUAUAUAGGGAUUGUUUCCUGUGUAAAGUAGCUGAUAUCUUAACACUAAUCUUACUACACAUUGCUGGACUUGGCUGGAAGCUUCCUGGUGUCCUCUUCUAAUGUCAGGAAAUUAUUAGUUUAGUACAGAUCUUUAGUCAAUACUAUUUCUCUGUCCCCUAUCCUUCACUUUCCAUUUAGAUACCACUGAAAAGGAGGCAGCCGAUUUAAAUGCAGAUAUAUAUAUAUAAGGCUACAUGAAAGUGUUGGGAGAAUUGAUCAAGGUAGGUUUUCAAGGAUUGAGACUUGGCUACAGGACUGUAGAAUGAAGCUGAGGAGCCAGGUGAUGAGAACCUCAUGUCUGGAGGAAAGAAGGGGAUGACUGCCAAAGAGUAACUGCCAAAUUAAGAGGCUGGAAUUCAUACUUCUCCUUGCGGGCCUGUGGCUGAGUAUUAGGGACAGGCAAGAAAGAACAGGGAAAGAGAAGACAGUGGUAGUACUGACAGAUUUUAGACUUGGGGACCAAACAACAGAAGUAUCAAGCUUAUGAAGAAAUGAGAAAAAUUAUAUUAGUAAUAUUCAGCCUGUGACUGCAGUGUGUGUUCUGCAAACAUCUCUGUGUGAACCCCCUGCCAUGGCCCUGCCUUGGCCUUUCACCUUCAUCUGUUUGUUGGGUAGCUGGGAGUUCUCUGCACAGUGAGACUGAAGUUGAAUGUGUCACUCCGUGCAGACUCUUCCAGAGAUGUCUGGGCACAUUGCAGCGUGAACUGCAAGCAGAGAUCCCCAAGCACAAGCUGAUGAUUGAGGCUGCUGACUCCACAUAUCCUCCAGCAGCUCUUAGCCAUGCAUAUGGUUUUGUGCAGGAAGCUGUAUUCACAGAAGCCUCACAGCAGGGCUUGUCCUGCCACAUACACGCAGUUCUCUGCUCUUACAAGCAUGCAGCAUCCAGGUGAGUGACUGGCUUGCAUACCGCCCACAUCUGUUAAGUACGUACUGUGAUCAAAUGCCUGUGAGGUGGAUGCCACCAUUUAAAAUAAAUCUGCAUAUGAUCCAGUAAGUCCUCCUCUGCUGAAACAGUGCAAGCCUGUGAUGCCACUGACCUGGAAAGUACAUUAACAAAGUUCCACAGGGCAGCAAAAUGUACCCGCUCUUCCUUUCACCUGCUCCACAAACAUUCAUUAGUCGUGGGCUGUCUUCCUGGUGUGCUUCCUUCCUCUCCCAGUGCUGCUUAUCCUUUCAUUGUCCUCCUCCCCAUUUAGCUGUUCAUGCAAAGUGGAGAGAUUAAGAAGAAAUGAUAGAUACUUCUGUUGUCAUCACUUAGCAACAGAACUGGUCUCUGGACUGUGGGAUGUCCAUUUGAAAGGCCUUGUUUAGAGCUGUAUUCUUUGAUUCAAAAGAGCCUGUCUCUGAUCUUGGUCAAAACGAAGCAUUCUUGGUUGUGUUAUACAGGAAAAACACUUUGUAUUUGACCUCUGGCCUCAAGUUAGUAAUGAAAUUAUAUCAUUCUGCAUGAGGGUUUGGUAGUUUGAACAGGAAGAACAGGUGGGGUAAAAGGAGGAGAAGGUGAUUGAAUCCUUUUCCUGUGCACUACAUUAGUAAAAGGAGAAGGGUUUGUAGUUCAAGGUGGGGUUACACUGUAUUCAGACAUGAAGAAUGAAAAGGUGAGAACUCAACAGGUUUGAGGAAAGCUGCUAAGGAAAGUUAAGCUCUUUUGUACUCACUAAGCUGGUUUUGCAAAGUGACUUGCUGCUGCUUCCAGACUUUGUGUGUUCCAAUUUUGCUAAGUCAGUGGGCUGCACCUAUUGAAUCGGUUCUUCUCUGGUGUGUGUGGGACAGCUUUGUAUACAACAUCAAUAAAUUGAGAUGCAAGGAUCUAUCAGUAGCACACCUGCAAGUUGCUAUCCCCCAGUGAAAGGCAGUCAAAAUUAAGCCUGCAGCACCAACAAGUAAACAAAACCUAGAUUAAUCUACUAUUCCAAAGCAAUUUGGGAAAUGUCUAUUAACAAUAUGAAUUUAUGUAUUAAGAUAGAUACAAGAGGGAAUUCCUGUGCAAGGUUGUGGAUUUUUAGAUUCUGCUUGCAUGAAUGUCCUUUCUAAGCACUAGAUCAAGAAGGAACACUAUCAGAGAAAGACAUCAGAAAAGGAACUGAAGAUAUAUUAGGGUAAGUGUGCUAUGCAGGGCAGUACAGUGAGAAGACAGCAAACGCACUAAAGGCAGUGACUACUCCUCAGCCAGUGGCAGUGAUUAACCUUUUGUGUUCUCACAUGCUGCAGCUGAACUGAGGGGUCGUGGUUGGUGUCAGACUCCAGGGUUGAGCCUCGAAGCUCUGAAUGUGUGGGCUGGUCCAUUUUAUCAUGUAUGAAGUGGUACAGAGGCACUUGCAGCUCAAGCAGGAAUGUCAAGGUCCUUAUCUUGUUUGCACUCUGACUGGCCACACCUGUAUUUGUGGAAGACUUGCCGCAGAGGUGGGGAGCCUGCAGAGUAGGGCUGCUUGUCUGGGUUUUUUAAUGAGUGCCUGAUGACUUUCUACGAAAGUUGACAUGAAUUCUGGAAACUUUAUAAUCAUAAAAUCUGUUUAUAGCCUCCAGUUACUAAGCAACAAAGGACAAAGUACGGAACCUUUCUCUUUGCUAAUACAUUUAACAUGUUAGUGGGCUGGAUUUUUUAGGCAGAAUAAAAGGAAGCCACCAAUCAAACAUUUUUAAAGCUUUAUUUUGGCUUUAUUUAAACUCGGUGGAUUUUUAGAUUGAGUGUUUCAGAAACUCACUUGCAGUACUUGUGAGUACUAAUGCACAAAGUGGAUCUGUGUACGACUAUGUCUGAGCUUCAACCCAACAGACUGUUUUGAUCUCAAUGUGAAAGAGUUGGAAAUGAUCUUCAAAAGCCCUUUUCUCAGUUGCAGACUGGAGUCGUUCAUCUUCCUGCUGUAGUAAUUCACUGAAACCUUAAUGCCAUGCAUUCAGUGGUGUUUGCCCAGUGCUACACUGUCAUCUGCAGUGCCCUGCACAUCAUUAAUUACUCUGCAUUUCUCAUCAUCCUUUUCCCCAGAGUGACUAAACCAGAAGCAUAACCCUUUCAUUACACAUGAGACAGGCGAGAUUUGGUUUUCCUUUGUGUAGGAACAUGGGCAGCAUUACUUAUUCUGAAACACUGACAAUUCCCUCUGAAUUUCUGUCUUUUUUACUUUUAACUUCAGGGCAAGAUGUCCAUGGAGCCUUGGAAAAUCCCAUGGUGGAUACAAGCCUGUUGGAAGAAUUCAUUAGUAGCGACAUAGAGUUUGGAACUUUGCAAAGCCAGUUGCCAGACUCCCCACCGGACUCCGGAUCAGAACCAUAUUCCCCACCACAGCUACAAACCCCAUGGUACAAUACUCUGUGGCCCAGUGGGCUGCAGCCUCCACUGCCAUGCCCAUCUGCCAUGGCACCCAGCAAGCUUCCUUGUGGGUUCAUGGAGACUUACUCUGACCCCAAUGCCAUGAGGCAGCUUUCCACCAUCUCCCAAGACUGCUGCCUGAAGACAGAAAAUGCUGUGACUCCAUGGAAUCAUUCUACAUCCUCUGGCUGUUUGGGUUUUAAUUAUUCAUGCUUCCAGCCUAACGCAGCUCAGAUUUCUGGAAGUAUUUCUGCAGUGUCAAGCAAAAAAAGGAAGCUCUCCCAAUUACUAGGAGAUGUCAUUGAUUCUCCAGUGCAGUCUCAGGAUUCCAGACAAGCAGCUGUAAGGGACUGUGCUGCUGAAGUGCAAGAAUAUGACAGUGAUGGACAGAAUGCUGCUUUGGAAAAAUGUUGUCAAGCACUUACAUGGCAACCAUAUCAAACUUCUCAGUGGAACAGCUUAUUUAACUCUAAUUAUGAAAAACUACCUGCGGUAGGAUAUCACAUUGUCACAGAUAAAGGAUUUAAUUUUUCAACAGCAGAUGAUGCCUUUGUGUGCCAAAAGAAGAAUCAUUUCCAAAUCACAGUUCAUAUUAGAAUCAUUGGACAACCGAAAUAUGUCAAAACUCAGCAGGGGAGGAAACCAAUAGAAAAGUUUUACUUGAAAGCUUAUGGAAUUAAGAUGGAAACUCCAGAUCAAACAAUUCCUAUUGAACAGUCCCAGUCAGAUCGAAGCAAAAAAACUUUUAAUCCUGUUAAAGUUGAUCUGCCAGGGGACCAGAUAACUAAAGUAACACUGGGAAGGCUGCAUUUCAGUGAACCAACAGCAAAUAAUAUGAGAAAAAAGGGGAAACCUAAUCCUGAUCAGAGAUACUUCAUGCUGGUAGUUGGACUGUAUGCUGUUUCUCAGGACCAGUUCUACUUACUAUCUGCAAAUGUCUCUGAGAAGAUCAUUGUGAGGGCAUCUAACCCAGGACAGUUUGAGAAUGACAGUGAUGUACUGUGGCAGCGAGGACAUGUUCCAGAGACUAUAGUGUGUCAUGGUCGAGUAGGAAUUAACACAGAUGCACCAGAUGAAGCACUGGUUGUCUGCGGAAACGCCAAAGUUAUGGGCAGAGUCAUGCACCCAUCUGACAGCCGAGCAAAACAGAAUAUCCGGGAGGUCGAUACAAAUGAGCAGUUGAGAAGAAUAACACAAAUGAGGCUGGUGGAAUAUGACUACAAGCCUGAAUUUGCAUCUGUUAUGGGAAUAAAAGAUACCCAUGAAACAGGAAUAAUAGCCCAGGAAGUGAAGGGGCUUUUACCUGAAGCUGUUAGAGAAGUUGGAGAUGUUGCUUGUAAUGAUGGAGAAAAAAUAGAAAACUUCCUCAUGGUUGACAAGGAUCAGAUCUUUAUGGAGAAUGUUGGUGCUGUAAAGCAGCUUUGUAAACUAACAAACAAUCUUGAAGUCAGAAUAGAAGAACUGGAACAGUGGAAUAGGAAACUGGCCAGGCUGAAACGGCUGAGCAGUUUAAAGUCAACAGUCAGUGAAGAGAGCAAAGUCAGCAGGUACAGUCGAGCUAAUAGUCUUUUGCCAUCAAUAAAACCAGUCUCGCUAAAAUCCAGGAAGGUUUGUUUGUCCAAGACCAAAGAAUCUUGCUCCAUGAAGAUUUUCCGAGUGACUGUAAUAGCUUUGCUUGCUAUUAUGGCACUAUGUGCUUUGACAAUAUGGAGCCUGUAUUUACUUAGCAUUCAUGACAGACGUUUUGAAAAACAUCCAGUGAACAGCAGCAACUCAAGUUCUGUUCCAGUCUCUCCCUCUACCACAACAGCAGCAUUGCAAAGGGAAAGCACAAUUUCUCAGAGUACACAGCCCAUUAGCAGGAUCCCUGAAGUGAAUUUCUGUGACAUUUUGCCUUGUGACAAGGUCUAUUGUUGUCCAAUUCAUCAACCAAAAGUCAAAUCUCUAAGUUAUGAAAAAAACAAUGCAAAGGAAAAAGGAAAAAAAAGCGACAUGUUACCCAAAAGACAUCUGGUCAAAAAACCUAGUGGAAGACCUGAUCUUGGAAAUGACUGGAUUGAUGCAACAGUCAGUUCCAUACAGAUUUUGGAAACUCAGCAAAGCAUUGACAAUCGCUAUUGUAGAAAAAAUCUGCACUGCAGCUCUGGAAAUUUCAGCUAUGUUAUUCCUAUUAACAAAUACACACCCAUGGAUGUAGAAAUCUCACUGGAAAUAAACACCACAGAACCAUUAAUUAUAUUUCUCUGCAAAGUCACAUUUGGAAAUUAUUGCUCCCAUUAUUCUUCAAGCCAAAACAGUAGGAAGGAUUUCCAAGAAACCACACAGCAGAGAGGAUGUGUCAGAAAGUGAAGUGAGGAGAAAAAGAUGAAGAAGUUGAGACACUAGAAAUAAAAGUUACCAUGGAUCAUUGGGUAAAAGAGAGGUGAGGAUUGAAUUUUGUUUUAUUCAUUGUAGCAUAAACAUUUCAGGUACAAAAUAUAUUGUUUCACUUGUACAUGGCAGUACACUGUAAUAAAAAUUAGCAUGAAACCUUGCAGGUAUCUGUUUUUGAAAUACUGAGUGAAGACACUACCCACAUCUUCAGAAUGUAAAGAGGAAAUUUUCUGUCUUCUGAGCACUGCUAAAGUUGCUGGCCCAAAAUCAGCAGAGCUGCCAUUUGCUACUAUUACAACUUAAAGCUCUCAGACCAGCUGGCACAUCAGGAACAAUCCCUAUUUAUUGUGGGAUUUGCUCAGAAAACAAGUGAGGGAAUCCAGUUAUUCAGAGCCAGCUGAGUGUCACUGGGAGUCAGAUGCCUGCAGUUCCCAUGUGGAGCUGAUCAGAGUAAACCGACAUUCACAGGGUUCAGUCAGCACUUGGUCUUUAAAUACUUUGACUACAGCUAUCAAGGCUUGGUAUUGUAAUUACUUUGCACUGCAUUUGUCAAUUAAAUAUUUCCAGAGCUUAUCCUUCUCUCCAAUUCCCCAUGAAAUAGGGUUAUCUAAUGUCUCCCAUUUAUCACCUAGGGACGCCAGCAUGUUUGGGCUCUCCCUGUAGCUAAGCUGUAUGACAGCGCAUAUUCUUUCCGUGUAGCUGUGCCGGGUUUUGCUAGCUGCUUGACAGAC
Corvus hawaiiensis (hawaiian crow) is the source of this 6493-nucleotide RNA transcript. It is a transcript of the gene named myelin regulatory factor like, with no coding region annotated. The transcript is spliced from 24 exons. The record is from RefSeq and is a predicted model, not a curated record. NCBI's taxonomy places the organism in Eukaryota, Metazoa, Chordata, Aves, Passeriformes, Corvidae.